CCUACGGGAGGCAGCAGUGGGGAAUCUUCCGCAAUGGGCGAAAGCCUGACGGAGCAACGCCGCGUGAGUGAAGAAGGCCUUCGGGUCGUAAAACUCUGUCUUCAGGGAAGAAAAAAAUGACGGUACCUGAGGAGGAAGCCCCGGCUAACUACGUGCCAGCAGCCGCGGUAAUA
RNAcentral lists this ribosomal RNA (173 nucleotides) under uncultured bacterium. RNAcentral's name for it is "partial 16S rRNA". It matches the Rfam family "Bacterial small subunit ribosomal RNA", at positions 338 to 525 of the family's 1533-position model. The record is from RNAcentral.